UGGGCAACCUGCCCUCAGCUCUGGGAUAACUCCAAGAAAUUGGGGCUAAUACCGGAUAUGACCGCUGACCGCAUGGUCUGGUGGUGGAAAGAUUUAUCGGCUGGGGAUGGGCCCGCGGCCUAUCAGCUUGUUGGUGGGGUAGUGGCUUACCAAGGCGACGACGGGUAGCCGGCCUGAGAGGAUGACCAGCCACAUUGGGACUGAGACACGGCCCAGACUCCGUACGGGAG
Molecule: ribosomal RNA, 230 nt
Filed under: uncultured bacterium
Lineage: Bacteria
Description: partial 16S ribosomal RNA
Rfam family: Bacterial small subunit ribosomal RNA
Source: RNAcentral